Molecule: ribosomal RNA, 119 nt
Filed under: Aegilops tauschii subsp. strangulata
Lineage: Eukaryota; Viridiplantae; Streptophyta; Magnoliopsida; Poales; Poaceae
Source: RNAcentral
GGAUGCGAUCAUACCAGCACUAAAGCACCGGAUCCCAUCAGAACUCCGAAGUUAAGCGUGCUUGGGCGAGAGUAGUACUAGGAUGGGAGACCUCCUGGGAAGUUCUCGUGUUGCAUUCC